GACGAACGCUGGCGGCGUGCUUAACACAUGCAAGUCGAACGAUGAACCCGGAGCUUGCUCUGGGGGAUUAGUGGCGAACGGGUGAGUAACACGUGAGUAACCUGCCCUGGACUCUGGGAUAAGCGUUGGAAACGACGUCUAAUACCGGAUAGGACCUUGGAUCGCAUGAUCUGGGGUGGAAAGUUUUUUCGGUCUGGGAUGGACUCGCGGCCUAUCAGCUUGUUGGUGAGGUAAUGGCUCACCAAGGCGUCGACGGGUAGCCGGCCUGAGAGGGUGACCGGCCACACUGGGACUGAGACACGGCCCAGACUCCUACGGGAGGCAGCAGUGGGGAAUAUUGCACAAUGGGCGAAAGCCUGAUGCAGCAACGCCGCGUGCGGGAUGACGGCCUUCAGGUUGUAAACCGCUUUUAGUAGGGAAGAAGGGCUUCGGCUUGACGGUACCUGCAGAAAAAGGACCGGCUAACUACGUG
RNAcentral lists this ribosomal RNA (472 nucleotides) under uncultured bacterium. RNAcentral's name for it is "partial 16S ribosomal RNA". It matches the Rfam family "Bacterial small subunit ribosomal RNA", at positions 28 to 507 of the family's 1533-position model. The record is from RNAcentral.